CCAGAUCUAAUUCCGUAGAAAGGAAAACUUCUUUCUUUGCCUAUUAUCAUCGCCGCCGCAGUUUUAUAUCUCAUUUCAAUCACUAAAAUCCUAAAUUCAUUGCUCAACCCCCACCCCCAAAAAAAGGGGAAAAAAUGGAAAAGAAAAGAAAUCCUGCAUUAUUCUGCUCGAAGCACAAGUUAUGGUUUAUUUAAUUGUAGAGGAAGGAAAUUCAAUUAAAAAACCCUAACUUGAGGUAAGAUUCUUUUAUCUUUUCUUGGAACUUUCGUCUAGGGUUCUUUGUUUUAGCAAAUGAACAAUGAGUAAAGUCAUAUAUGUUAUGUGUUUAAUUAAGUCCCUUGUAUUUGAGAUCUAAAAGAAGAAAGUUUAUUCACGAAGUAUCGAUUGGAGAAAAUUUCUGAAAUUUGUUUAAUAUUUUGGUGUUAAUGAGUAAAGUUAAUUUGUAUAGACGUGUUCAAUAUAUUCUUAAUGAUAGGAGAAAUAAUUUAUCGUAUACCAAUGCAAUUUUAAAAGGACCCUCUCAACAAAAUUUGUUCGGCAUGGAUAUAAGGUAAGCAAAGAUUCACAAGCACCUACCAUUCGUGAAAAUAUAUGCUUUAUGUACUAACCUUUGUGGAAGUGAAAUUUAUUGAAAUAUACAAGCUGUUAAGAAUUACUCAUGCCUUUCCUUAUUCUAAUUUAUAUGAAUGUGUGUAUAUGAUUAAAAUUUUCAGGAACACUGAUAUUCUUUUAAAACUUAAUAUUUUAAUUUUGAGAAAUGGAGGCCCACAGAAUUCAUAUUGUUGAAGUUCACUUGGAAAAAAAAAAAAGAAAAUUAUGAAUUUGAAUCCUAUAAGGAAAAGGGAGAUUUUGGCAACACUUUUGAAAAAAGAAUGGUAUACUUGUCAAAUGCAUAAAAAAUGGACACUAUUUAGUAUCCUAAAAGUAAUACACUAAAUUCAUUUCUCACUCUAAAGCUUUCCUAUCUAGAAAAUUUCUUCUGUUCCAAAUGUGAUUAAAAUCCUCAUUUAUAAAAUAUCUUCAAUAGCCCAAAUCCAUGAAUUCAUAAGUCCACCUUCCAUCUUCUUAUAAUUUCUUACUUUCCUUCUGUAAAUGAACAAUUUCUUUGUUUAAAACUCUACAUUUUCAGUAGUUACAUCACUAGGGCCUUUAAAGUUUGUUGAGCUUUCUCUAUACAUAGGGUUUGGGCUUUAGAAAAACUGAUAGAUUUCGUGAAAAUUUUCUAUUGAUUCCAUUUUAUCAUUUCACAGUUAGCAAGUCUCUGGAUCUUUUCUUAUAUUUGUUUUUUGAAAUUCAUUUAUCUUGAUGAUUUGUUGUGUUCCUUUCCAUCUACUCUUGACAGCCCCCGUUAUUUCGGCUGCACAAGGUUGGAGUACUGACAUGGAGGCAGGGAUGGAUCUAGGAUUGGAUCCACGAUCGGACUACAAAAUUUCAAACCGAGCUACUACGUGGAAAAUUUUUUUUUUUUUUACACAUAAAAAACUGAUUUUUUAUCCAAAAAAUAAAAAAUACCUUAAUAAAAAAACUCUUGGACCUGGGGGGCUACAGCCCCCCCCAGCCCCCCCCCCCCCUAAUAUCCGUCUUUGCAUGGAGGGUGUCUAGCACGUGUUGAUGAAACCUAGUAUCAUAGUUUUAGAAGUCCCAAUUGAGGUCACUUCAGAAUGAAGUGAAUAAAAAUGCCUCAUUGUGGGGCAGUUUUUGAAGGCAUACGACUCCACUAAGGGAUGCAUGUGCCUCAAAAUGCUGCCGUAAGACUUGUGAUGUGUCCGUAUUUACUUUUCUUUAGGGCUGGAUCCAGAAGAUCCUAAAAAGUAUAGUUAAUUUACUUUGGGAAUAGCCAACCGCCCGAUUGAAAAAAAAAAUUGCGGUUUCUCAUAUAACUUUUUCGGGAAUAGUCAACUCCACCAACUAAAGUAAUAGUUUUUUUGGUUACUUUUUAUAUUUUUUAUAUGUUUUUUACACACUUAAUUUUUUAUCAUGUUUUUUUUAAAAAAAUUAAUGAUUUAUUAUGCUUAUUUUGUAUUUUAAUGAAUUUUUAUAUAUUUUUGGUUCAUGGUGUGGCUUAUACUUCAAAUGCCUUGAGGUUUACUCCUUACUUCACAAAAGAAUGACACAUCAAUACCUAAUUAUGCAUUUUAAAUAAUGUGCAUGGUUUAAUAAAACCCAAUUGAGGCUCAAUUGAAAGUGAGGAGAACUAAAGUCUCAAAGCAAUGAUUGUAAGGUUGCUUUUAGAGUUGUAUGCUUCAACUACAACGACCAAAUACAUUUUCUUACAACCUCUUUCACUAAGGGGCUAUUCCAUUCAUCCUUAUCUUUGGAACUCUCUACUGGGGGUUGGACUUGUGGCGGAUUUCUUUAUGGCCUGCCACGAGUUGAAUUCAACACCUUUCUUAAGAACAUAAGUAAAAUGCUUCCAGUGGGCACUAUGUAAGUUAUGAUUGGCUGAACAACGGCUACGUGAAAGAGCUUUCAACUUUUUGGUUAUUAUGUCUACUAAGUUAGACACUCACCAUACACCGCCUUAAGAUUUGUGAGGUCUUUACUUCUUAAUUUUUCUGACUUCUUUGCUUUUAUUUAGGUGCGGAAUCCAAAAAUAUUAAUAACAUUGUGAUCGACACAUUUUGGGAACAGCCUAUUGUCCAUUAAAAUAUUAAAUAUUUUUGUUUCUAAUAGACCUGCUCCGGCAAUACCAUUGUCUUGCCAAUGUUAGCGAUAGUUGCUUUUAUCUUAGUUUACCAAAUUUUGUUUCCAUAUUUCUUUUUUUUUUAGUUUGAGAACUUUGAAUUAUCGUUUUAUGAGUUUGGAAACUGUUUUAUGAUUUACUAUGUGCUUGAUUUGUAUAUUAAUAGUUUUCUUGACAUUCUAUCUCUUUAAACUGAGGGAUAUGCCUCAAAAUGCCUUGAGUUUGUUUUUCGGGAUGAUUUGAAAAACAUUUUGUAUAAUAGGGUUGAUGUCAUCUAUCAACCAUCCAAUCUCCCCUUCAUUUUAUUUCGGAAUUCCUAUUAUGAUUUACUGGUCACAUGCAAGACUACUAAAAUGUCUUGUAUUGAUGUGCUUGUAUAUUUUAGUCACCCUUAUUUGGUUGUAAUGACAUAGAUUUAUGUUUCAUAUAUAGGUAGGAAAAGCAAUUUUUAUGAUUAAGUUUGCAUAUGUUUUAACAUUAUGAUAAAUAUGCCUUUGUUCUUUAAUUGAUUUUGACAGUAAUUAACCUUAAUGAUUUUAUAGAAGUGAUGAAUGUAUGAAAAUGAAAUCUUGAAACAUAUUGUAUUUCUUAAAUAGUUAUUUGAAAUUAUUAUUAAUAUAUAAUUGGUGAUGAUCCUUUACUUUUUGCAGCUCCGUAAGGGUUCUGGAAACAAUGCACAACUGAACAGGUUCAAUUUUGUUUUUCUAAGGAUGCAAUAACGGAGAAAAUUACUAUCGAUCAACAUUUUGUUCAGCAGAUUAAGUGAUAUAAUUUGUAGCAAAAGGAUCUCAAUAGGUUUGAUAUUUCGAAUGAUUUAAUGCUUUCUAGAAGGUCAAAGACUAAGAAUGGUAUACACAUGCAAUGGAUGGUAUUGACGUCAACAACAACUCAAAGAAAUAUCAGAUAUGGAUAAGGAUUACAAGUGGUUUAUUCUCACAGGUUUAAGUGAGACGGAAAAAUAUAAAAAACUUAAGCAAAAAAGAGACACACCUAACGGUGUUGGCAAGAAGAGUGAGAAGAAUAGUGUUGUUGAUCCUCAAUAUGAACUUUUUUUGGGUAGACUCAAACUCUAUGAGAAGUCCUAUAUGCUUGAGGUUGAGAAAAUGGUGUACCCAUGGUGAUUAAAUAUGAAGAAUUGGGUAGUUCCAAA
This 3833-nucleotide long non-coding RNA is filed under the name Olea europaea (common olive). RNAcentral describes it as "long non-coding RNA (OEUR_LNC002553)". The record is from RNAcentral. Lineage: Eukaryota; Viridiplantae; Streptophyta; Magnoliopsida; Lamiales; Oleaceae.